UACGUAGGGGGCAAGCGUUGUCCGGAUUUAUUGGGCGUAAAGAGCGUGUAGGCGGUUAUACAGGUCCGCUGUGAAAACUGGAGGCUUAACCUCCAGACGUCGGUGGAAACCGUAUAACUAGAGUCCGGAAGAGGAGAGUGGAAUUCCUGGUGUAGCGGUGAAAUGCGCAGAUAUCAGGAAGAACACCCGUGGCGGAAGGCGGCUCUCUGGGACGGUACUGACGCUGAGACGCGAAAGCGUGGGGAGCGAACAGG
This 254-nucleotide ribosomal RNA is filed under the name uncultured bacterium. RNAcentral describes it as "partial 16S ribosomal RNA". It matches the Rfam family "Bacterial small subunit ribosomal RNA", at positions 524 to 776 of the family's 1533-position model. The record is from RNAcentral.